GUAGGGAAUAUUGGACAAUGGGCGAAAGCCUGAUCCAGCCAUGCCGCGUGAUAGAUGAAGGCCCUCUGGGUUGUAAAUAUCUUUUAUCUGGGAAGAAACUCCUCUAUUCUUAGAGGCCUGACGGUACCAGAGGAAUAAGCACCGGCUAACUCCGUGCCAGCAGCCGCGGUAAUACGGAGGGUGCAAGCGUUAUCCGGAUUCACUGGGUUUAAAGGGUGCGUAGGCGGGUUGAUAAGUCAGUGGUGAAAGCUCCGGGCUUAACUUGGAAACUGCCAUUGUUACUGUCAGUCUUGAAUGUCGUAGAGGUAAGCGGAAUGUUGCAUGUAGCGGUGAAAUGCUUAGAUAUGUUACAGAACACCAAUUGCGAAGGCAGCUUACUAUGCGAUAAUUGACGCUGAGGCACGAAAGCGUGGGGAGCAAACAGGAUUAGAUACCCCGGUAGUCC
This 445-nucleotide ribosomal RNA is filed under the name uncultured bacterium. RNAcentral describes it as "partial 16S ribosomal RNA". It matches the Rfam family "Bacterial small subunit ribosomal RNA", at positions 354 to 796 of the family's 1533-position model. The record is from RNAcentral.